This is a long non-coding RNA of Oncorhynchus tshawytscha (Chinook salmon), 1285 nucleotides long. The record is from Ensembl. NCBI's taxonomy places the organism in Eukaryota, Metazoa, Chordata, Actinopteri, Salmoniformes, Salmonidae.
UGAUAGUACAGGGUGAGCUGCACAAAGUGGUCUUCCUGCUAGGGCACACCGCCUCAGUGCUAACAGUAUAACUCUGGUUCAUAGGCUCAUGAUUACUGCAUACAAUGUUCCGAGAUAGCCCUCCUGAUUUCGCUUGACCCCACAUGGACUACGACAGCAUCAGCUCCCGGCAUCUGUGGUAGAUCAGUCGGAAGCAGCCUUGUUAUGUUCUGUACUCCGUGCUCCUGGGUAGCACUGUGUUUUUGCAUUGGGAACCGAGAUGUUUCUCACCAUAGAGCUGCCAAUGAUGACAGCUGGUGAUGUUGAAUGGAAAGGUGUCUCAGGCAGCCUCACGGUCUGAUGAGGGUGUUGGUGCUGAGAAUCUGAACCAGAUGUAGAAGCCACUGGAGAGGAAGACAGAACAGAGGACGAAUACGCAGGUACCUCCGAAUCCAAUAUCGAAUGGGAAGCCCCUAAGGAAGAGGGGCCAGGAACCUCUGAAUCCAGGGCGACAAAGCGGUCUGUGACGGUCCGGGCAUAACAUCUCUAAGGAGGCCCCUGUUGCCAGAGGACGCUUUCUUCGACUUCCACAGCGAGUGACGUACCUCAAUGGCUGAUUGGUUGGGUCAAGAACAGUUCCAUUCUCCAGGGAAGGGGGAGACCCCAUCGGGGAAAGAUCCCUGCUGAGCACCGGCUAGUCGGCUGUGGAGAGCCGGGGUGGAAGAAAAAGAAAAAGUAGGCAGAUGUGGAUUCCCCAGUAGCUUGUGUAGGUUUUCUACCUGCUAUCUAAGUGUAGCCACUUCGCUACUGUAGUUCUCCACAAGCAAGCAAUUGCUACAAUGAAAGUCAGCGCAGUCCAGAUCAUUCCGGAACGAAGCAAAGUAAAUACAGCUUCUGCAGCGCUGGGAACGUUCAAUAGCGACCUCCAUUUGAGGCGGCUGAGCCAGCUAGGCUAGCUGGGCUUCCGUGUCCCUCCCCCUAUGUGGAAUCUGACAGGAUCCCAGGACAGACAGCUGCGCUCACAGCAACUAAGCCCAACAGAGUCGCAGGAUCCAAAACAAAAUUUACAAGGAAACACUGUUUACAAGGAAACACUGUUCAGCCUUCAGCGUUCAAUAACAAACGACAUACAGCCUGAUCUGGUGGAUAUCAUUCUCAUGAAGCGGAAACCGAGUGAAGGAAAAGCAGCCAACAAGUGCUCAGCAUAUGUGGGAACUCCUUCAAGACCGUUAGAAAAGCAUUCCAAGUUAAGCUGGUUGAGAGAAUGCCAGGAGUGUGCAAAGCUUUCAUCAAGGCAAAGGGUGGC